RNAcentral lists this non-coding RNA (234 nucleotides) under Anaerocolumna xylanovorans. Its description in RNAcentral is "c-di-GMP sequence". The stretch from base 1 to 108 matches the Rfam family "c-di-GMP-I riboswitch aptamer". The record is from RNAcentral. Lineage: Bacteria; Bacillati; Bacillota; Clostridia; Lachnospirales; Lachnospiraceae.
AACUGAAAAAGGCAAACUUACUGAAAGGUAAGGACGCAAAGCCACGAGUCUAAGGUAUAGUGUGAAAAAUAAAAAGCAUUUUUUACUUUCUAUUUGGGCAGUAUCGCAAGUAAACUUGCGAUAUGCAUAGGGAUAGUGUGAAAAAUGCGAUGUAUUUUUCGCUUUCUAUUCAGGCAGUUUCGCAAGUAAACUUGCGAAAUGCAUGGGGUAUACUAUGGCAGUCGGGCCGCUGUA